Molecule: ribosomal RNA, 252 nt
Filed under: uncultured bacterium
Lineage: Bacteria
Description: partial 16S ribosomal RNA
Rfam family: Bacterial small subunit ribosomal RNA
Source: RNAcentral
UACAGAGGGUGCAAGCGUUAAUCGGAAUUACUGGGCGUAAAGCGUGCGCAGACGGUUGCGUAAGUCAGAUGUGAAAGCCCCGGGCUCAACCUGGGAAUUGCAUUCGAGACUGUGUGGCUAGGGUGCGGAAGAGGGAAGCGGAAUUUCCGGUGUAGCGGUGAAAUGCGUAGAUAUCGGAAGGAACACCAGUGGCGAAAGCGGCUUCCUGGUCCAGCACCGACGUCAGGCACGAAAGCGUGGGGAGCAAACAGG